UGCGUCUGCAGGAUUUCACUAAAUUCCCAUUGACUCAAGCCUCCCUCUGUUUCUCACAAUACGGUCAAGGGAGCAGCUCAUUUAUAAAAGGACAGGCCAGUUUCAACCUGAUGGGUUGAAAGAAUUAGCCAGUGCCAAAUGAUACUUUAUUGAUCUUUUCUUGGGAAGGUGAGGGGAAGUGGGGCAACGUAGAGUCCUCAAAUUGCUUGUCUGGGUUCAUCUUCCCCGAAGGGGCAGCUUGCAUACAAUCCCCGUUAUAUUGGCUUUGGCAUAGUGGCGGGCUUUUAGGAUGCUGUCGGCUCUCCAUCUGUGUGUCGAUAGAUUAUUUUAAGGGGGCAUGCUUGGACCUUCAUUGACCAUGAGAAUCUGUCCAACUUCCACACUGUGUGAAUAUCCAAGACAAACACACGUAUCUACCAUUAAAACGGAGGAAGCAGACGCAACUAUUUACGGAACAGGAUUCCAGGUCUUAAGGGAGAAGAAAAAAGAAGUUUAUCCAACAAGAUCACCACAGGAUCCCAACAGGACAUCAUAUUGCAUCUUGGCACCACCUCUUCUUAGGCUUCAAUUGGCUCAAACAGUUUUUAAAAGAUUGCUUGACUUGAUGACCUGGACAAUUUUGAAGAGCACUGGUUAGGAUUUUUUUAGAGCCUUCUAUUGGGACUUGUCUGAUAUUUUUCUCAUGAUUGUGGUUUUUUGAGAGGAAGACCACAGAAGCAGUAUGUCAUUUUUGUUUCAUCUUAUCAAGGGAACAAUAGUAUAGGAAUGUAAUCUAUAAAUAUGUUGAAUCACCAUGCUGUACACCUGAAACUAAUAUAGUACUGUAAGUCAACUGUACUGCAAUUUAAGAAUUCAUAGCACAGAAGUUGACCCCGGUGGCCUGACUGAGGUAGUGUUUGUCAGAUUUCACCACUGUAGAAUUUUUUCUCUUUCCCCUGACCAUACUGUAACCUUUAAAAAGAAGGCCCCACCCCUGCCUAAGGAAUAGAGAGUGUCAUGUUCCACCUUCUUGAGGGCCAGAUAUCCACACAAAUUAAUAGGAAUUCUUUUGCACAUAAGAAUAUGUCUUCUCCCACAUUUAUUUAUAUACU
This is a long non-coding RNA of Bos taurus (domestic cattle), 1091 nucleotides long. NCBI's taxonomy places the organism in Eukaryota, Metazoa, Chordata, Mammalia, Artiodactyla, Bovidae. The record is from Ensembl.